UGAUGUAAGGGUCAAAAGUACCAAAUCACGUGCUUGCACGUUGAUUUGAGACUUUAUGACCCGCCCGAACACGAAUAACGUAGUCGUUUUGCACAGCAAAAGGACGUGAGUUAUGAGUGUUCAGCAACACAACUGCCUUCG
Molecule: small RNA, 141 nt
Filed under: Oribacterium sp. WCC10
Lineage: Bacteria; Bacillati; Bacillota; Clostridia; Lachnospirales; Lachnospiraceae
Description: Clostridiales-1 RNA
Rfam family: Clostridiales-1 RNA
Source: RNAcentral